AUUGAACGCUGGCGGCAGGCCUAACACGUGCAAGUCGAACGGUAACAGGAAGACGCUUGCUUCUUUGCUGACGAGUGGCGGACGGGUGAGUAAUGUCUGGGAAACUGCCUGAUGGAGGGGGAUAACUACUGGAAACGGUAGCUAAUACCGCAUAACGUCGCAAGACCAAAGAGGGGGACCUUCGGGCCUCUUGCCAUCGGAUGUGCCCAGAUGGGAUUAGCUAGUAGGUGGGGUAACGGCUCACCUAGGCGACGAUCCCUAGCUGGUCUGAGAGGAUGACCAGCCACACUGGAACUGAGACACGGUCCAGACUCCUACGGGAGGCAGUAGUGGGGAAUAUUGCACAAUGGGCGCAAGCCUGAUGCAGCCAUGCCGCGUGUAUGAAGAAGGCCUUCGGGUUGUAAAGUACUUUCAGCGGGGAGGAAGGGAGUAAAGUUAAUACCUUUGCUCAUUGACGUUACCCGCAGAAGAAGCACCGGCUAACUCCGUG
RNAcentral lists this ribosomal RNA (490 nucleotides) under uncultured bacterium. RNAcentral describes it as "partial 16S ribosomal RNA". It matches the Rfam family "Bacterial small subunit ribosomal RNA", at positions 30 to 507 of the family's 1533-position model. The record is from RNAcentral.